Molecule: ribosomal RNA, 253 nt
Filed under: uncultured bacterium
Lineage: Bacteria
Description: partial 16S ribosomal RNA
Rfam family: Bacterial small subunit ribosomal RNA
Source: RNAcentral
GACGAACCGUGCGAACGUUGUUCGGAAUCACUGGGCUUAAAGGGCGCGUAGGCGGGCUGCCAAGUCUGUGGUGAAAUCCUCCAGCUUAACUGGAGAACGGCCGUGGAUACUGGCGGUCUCGAGGGAGAUAGGGGCAAGCGGAACUGUGCGUGGAGCGGUGAAAUGCGUUGAUAUGCACAGGAACUCCGGUGGCGAAGGCGGCUUGCUGGAUCUCUUCUGACGCUGAGGCGCGAAAGCUAGGGGAGCGAACGGG